ACUAGGGCAGUAUGACACGAUAUAUUUUGCUUACACCAAAAAGCAGGCCCCAAGCCCCCUAGUA
RNAcentral lists this transfer RNA (64 nucleotides) under Microcondylaea bonellii. Its description in RNAcentral is "Unio bonellii tRNA-Val". The record is from RNAcentral. Lineage: Eukaryota; Metazoa; Mollusca; Bivalvia; Unionida; Unionidae.